UGUGAGGUGUGCAUUGGAUUGAUCCAG
Molecule: non-coding RNA, 27 nt
Filed under: Homo sapiens (human)
Lineage: Eukaryota; Metazoa; Chordata; Mammalia; Primates; Hominidae
Source: RNAcentral